RNAcentral lists this transfer RNA (73 nucleotides) under Hadesarchaea archaeon. RNAcentral's name for it is "tRNA-Ala". It matches the Rfam family "tRNA". From Rfam's summary of the family: Transfer RNA (tRNA) molecules are approximately 80 nucleotides in length. Their secondary structure includes four short double-helical elements and three loops (D, anti-codon, and T loops). Further hydrogen bonds mediate the characteristic L-shaped molecular structure. tRNAs have two regions of fundamental functional importance: the anti-codon, which is responsible for specific mRNA codon recognition, and the 3' end, to which the tRNAs corresponding amino acid is attached (by aminoacyl-tRNA synthetases). tRNAs cope with the degeneracy of the genetic code in two manners: having more than one tRNA (with a specific anti-codon) for a particular amino acid; and 'wobble' base-pairing, i.e. permitting non-standard base-pairing at the 3rd anti-codon position. Lineage: Archaea; Methanobacteriati; Hadarchaeota (SeqCode); Hadarchaeia (SeqCode). The record is from RNAcentral.
GGGCCCGUAGCUCAGUUGGUAGAGCGUUGGCUUUGCAAGCCAGAGGUCCCGGGUUCAAAUCCCGGCGGGUCCA